GUGGGGAAUAUUGGGCAAUGGAGGCAACUCUGACCCAGCCAUGCCGCGUGAAGGUUUGACGGCCCUCUGGGUUGUAAACUUCUUUUGUACGGGAAUAACCCUCCGGACGUGUCCGGAGCUGAAGGUACCGUAAGAAUAAGGAUCGGCUAACUCCGUGCCAGCAGCCGCGGUAAUACGGCGGAUCCAAGCGUUAUCCAGAUUUACUGGGUUUAAAGGGUGCGUAGGCGGAUUAAUAAGUCAGUGGUGAAAGCCUGCAGCUUAACUGCAGAACUGCCAUUGAUACUGUUAGUCUGGAGUAUGGUUGAGGUAGCUGGAAUGUGUCAUGUAGCGGUGAAAUGCUUAGAGAUGACACAGAACACCGACGGCGAAGGCAGGUUACCAACCCAUUACUGACGCUGAGGCACGAAAGCGUGGGGAUCAAACAGGAUUAGAUACCCUGGUAGUCC
RNAcentral lists this ribosomal RNA (446 nucleotides) under uncultured bacterium. Its description in RNAcentral is "partial 16S ribosomal RNA". It matches the Rfam family "Bacterial small subunit ribosomal RNA", at positions 354 to 796 of the family's 1533-position model. The record is from RNAcentral.